Molecule: ribosomal RNA, 369 nt
Filed under: uncultured bacterium
Lineage: Bacteria
Description: bacterial SSU rRNA
Rfam family: Bacterial small subunit ribosomal RNA
Source: RNAcentral
GGAGGGUGCGAGCGUUGUCCGGAAUCAUUGGGCGUAAAGGGCGCGUAGGUGGCCCGGUCAGUUCGUGGUGAAAGCGCGGGGCUCAACCCUGCGUCGGCCAUGAAUACUGCCGCGGCUGGAGCACUGUAGAGGCAGGCGGAAUUCCGGGUGUAGCGGUGGAAUGCGUAGAGAUCCGGAAGAACACCGGUGGCGAAGGCGGCCUGCUGGGCAGUUGCUGACACUGAGGCGCGACAGCGUGGGGAGCAAACAGGAUUAGAUACCCUGGUAGUCCACGCCGUAAACGAUGGGCACUAGGCGCUUGGGGGAGCGACCCCCCGAGGGCCGGCGCUAACGCAUUAAGUGCCCCGCCUGGGGAGUACGGCCGCAAGG